This is a long non-coding RNA of Tripterygium wilfordii, 1698 nucleotides long. RefSeq lists it as uncharacterized. The record is from RefSeq and is a predicted model, not a curated record. Lineage: Eukaryota; Viridiplantae; Streptophyta; Magnoliopsida; Celastrales; Celastraceae. The transcript is spliced from 4 exons.
AGACGGUCGGCAUGCUUUUUAGUAAGGCAAAGAGUAUGUAAUGGUCGGCCAAAUCCUCAAUGCCCAUAUACCAGUCCGUUGGAUCUUCGCAGCCCAUCAAAUUUCUGAAGUCUCAUGCAUGAAUCCGAUCGUAUGUGUUGAAGAAUGCUUGGAAUGGGCCGAAAAACAAUCCCAUAUGCCAACUGCCCAUGUCCACAACGCAAACAUUGAAAAGCCCAAAACACAAGCCCAACUGAUUUUCCGGUUGUUAUCAUUCCGAAGGUUUGGUUCCGCUUUUCCUACAAGAGAACCGUGAAUUUUCGGGACACAAACAGGGGCGCAGUAAACAUCAAUCGAGGAAAAAAAAGAAGGGAAAUCCAGGUUCGUAGGGAAGAGUUGUCAAAGACCCGAAAGCUCUCUCCCCGGCUUCUGCGACCUCAGACACUCUCUUCUUCUCGGGUAUGUUUGGUGUACUCUCAACUCCAGUUCCGGCCGCAUAUACACACACAAGCUAGGUUCGAUUUCUCUACCUUUCUCCAUUACUUUCCAUGGUCCACAUCAAGCCAUCUAAUCUCCCAUUAUUUCUCUUCGGGAUAUCAGACUUGGUCUUUGGGAUUAUGUUGAGAAACUAGGGUUAACCAUGGUCGAAUUGGCGUCUUUUUAUGUGGUGAAGGCUUGUGCUGGACAGAGUUGUGAAGCGGGAGGGAGUUUGGGUGGAAGAUAGAAAGAUUGGUGCUACUGGAGUUCAUAUAGCACUUGGGAUCGAUUCGCAUGGAUUGGCAUUCAAAUUGAUCCUGAUAUGAACUAUUUUAAGAACAUUGUGCCUUGUGGCAUUGUGAAUAAGGAAGUUACAUCAUUGAGAAGGGAAACCGGUAUUUUGCUUCCUGCCGACGAAGUAAUUCAUGAGCAGGUGAUUACUUGUUUUGCAAGAGUAUUUGGUUAUAUUGAUAUUACUUGGAAGGAGAAUCCUUUGACAUUGGAAGGAAAAUCUCAGUGAUUUUUUCCACAAUAAAAGAAUCUCCCCAGCCAAGCAAUGCUGAUAUACUGUUAUCCAUACUUGAUAAAUUUCAGAACUUCUGUUGCCCGAAUGUUCGGUUGACUCUAUUUCUCUUUUAUCACGGUCUGCUUUGAGUUCACUCUUCUAGAUCUCAGACGGAUAGCUGUCUGGAUUUGACUGAAACUGCAGAUCUAUAUAUUUUUCUACCAAAAGAAUCAUCUUUCAGAAUUGGAUCUUGAUUGACUAGUCACCUGAAGGCGCUUACCAUAAAACGACUUUGUGCAUUACAACUAUAGAUGAGGGUUGUUCUUGUUCUCUUUGCAUUAUAUAUACUUGGGACUGCAUUUGUGUUUGUGCUGUAGAGGAAUGGCAUUUCUCUUGAAGACCAGAACUAUGAGGUGUAGAAGACAAGAAUGGACUGGGGACUGCAUUUGUGUUUGUGCAGUAGAGGAAUGACAUUUCUCUUGAAGACCAGAACUAUGAGGUGUAGAAGACAAGAAUGGACAAGCGAUGAACCAUAUCAAAAUAUCUACCAUUGACAAGUAAAACAUAAAUGUCUCUUGAUUUCUUACGGAUCCAAUGCUAGAAGACUUGGUCUUCAGAACGGGCCAUAAUUGUACGAGUGAAUGACAUUUCUUAUCUAAAAGUCGCCUCUUAAAUUUGAUAUAAUGGAACAGCUGGGAACUUCACCAGGUUUUUGAUAUGCAUCUGGGUUUGUUCAA